CGGGAAACCGGUGCUAAUNCCGGAUAAUCCUUUUCCUNUCNUGAGGAAAANCUGAAAGUCGGUUUUUAGCUGACACUUACAGAUGGGCCCGCGGCGCAUUAGCUAGUUGGUGAGGUAACGGCUCACCAAGGCGACGAUGCGUAGCCGACCUGAGAGGGUGAUCGGCCACACUGGGACUGAGACACGGCCCAGACUCCUACGGGAGGCAGCAGUAGGGAAUCUUCCACAAUGGACGAAAGUCUGAUGGAGCAACGCCGCGUGAGCGAUGAAGGCCUUCGGGUCGUAAAGCUCUGUUGUUAGGGAAGAACAAGUACCGGAGUAACUGCCGGUACCUGACGUACCUACCAGA
This 349-nucleotide ribosomal RNA is filed under the name soil bacterium 06G-15. RNAcentral's name for it is "bacterial SSU rRNA". It matches the Rfam family "Bacterial small subunit ribosomal RNA", at positions 150 to 497 of the family's 1533-position model. The record is from RNAcentral.